ACAUGUAUAUAUAUGCAUGACUCGGACCUUAUGCUGUACACCAGAAAUUGACAUAUUGUAACUGACUAUACUUCAAUUUAAAAGAAAAAAUAAUAAUAAAAGCGCUGCACUGAUCUCCAGUAAUAUUAGCACCAUUAUCACCAAUGAUGAGAAGCAAUUUUAGCUGUUCUUCUCUCAGCACCUGGUGAAGACUUCCCAUUCAUAAAAGCUGAGUCAUUACCCACUGAUUAUCAAGCAGUAGCAUCUUGGUUUGAAUUUCCUUAAUUACAUGUGUUUGAAAUAAUUUGGAUGCCUAUAGGGUGGAGUUGAUUUUUUAAGAGAUAAAUGUACACAUUUACUGAUUAUUCCUAAAGGACGACUUCACAGUUGCAAGAUCUCGUUAUCAACAAGACAUUUGAAAAAGAAUAUGCAUCCCCUGCCUACAUCAUCCUCUGACUCGCCAUCCUCCAGUGAUUCUGAAUGCCACUCCAGAAGCCCGUCGAAACCUGGUGGGUGCAGAGAAGUCUCUUGCUCUUGCUGGAAAAUGACUUAUAAAAAGUGGGAUGCUCACCUGCUACUGUAACAGAGAUCCCCUUGGCUACUGGAAGCCAGUUGUUGAGGGAGCCUGAGAGAUGCGGUCCACAGCAGUCGGCCUCCAGGGGCCCAGAGCAAGGUAGAGAGUGCACCUGUGUGGAGCAAAAGGGGAAUGAUCAGCAUAUGAAGUUUUAAGAAAUAUCUGCUGCAUUACUAGGAGGAAAUCGAGAUAUGUGAAAAAUCUGCACAUCCUCAAUGAUACCAAGUGACUGAAACAGAAAACUGCAAGCCAUGAAAAAAAAUUGUCUUCACUUUACCGUUGAUGCUUGUCAUAUGUAGAAAUAGAUGAGGAUGGAAAUGGAGGCAUUUCCAAUUACAAAACAGAAUUGUUUCAUAUUGUAUGUUUUAUGCCUUCUGGUGACCCCAAGUUUAUCAUCUUAGUGAGGGAACCAAGACAACUGCCACUCGGGGAAGGGGGCAAAACAGUCAGUUCUGAACUAGUGGAACUGACCAGGCUAAAGGAUCAAGGACUAUUUCCAAUGUGUGCAUGAGUGCAAUUUCAAGAAAUGUCUCAGCCUUGUCAUGGAUGUCUCUAAGGAUUUGUUAAAAAAAUUCAAAUGCCACAGAUUUAUUUAUUUUAUGCUGAGAAAUCCACUGUGCCCUCAGUUAGAAGUUCUAGAUGACACCUAGUUUAAGAUGAUUCUGAGAGUGAGACUCUGUAUCCUUGCAUUUUACUUAAGGCCUAAUAGUAUGCCAGGCUGCUUUCCCUUUUGUUAAUAAUGAAGACUGAUCACAGUAUUUGAUUAAAAAUUAUGUCCCACUUGGCAGAGCUGUGGCUUGCAUUUUGGUGCUUUGUGUCAGUAUAAAUAUUUAUCAAGUCGUGAGUCUUAUUUCAGGUUGAUGACUUCUUCUGCUAGGAAUCAGUGGAUAGGAUUCAGGGGCCUGUGAAACUCGUAAAAUUGAUUGCAAAAUGUUUGGCGUGCACAUGUUUUUUCGAGGAAGAAGAUCUAUUGUUUCCACAAAUACUCCAAAGCUAUGCCUUCCUUGACCUUUCUAAAUGAAUUAGCAUUCCCCUGUCUAGUUUUCAUUAACUAAUGGCCCAUCUACCUUUUAUCUCAUCGUUUGGAUUUACAUAUUUUCCUUCAUUAGCUGUCAUUAUAGAGAUUCUCAAGAGAGAGAAAAGAUACACAUAUGUGAUCAGCUGCUUUUAACGUUAAGAACCAUGGCUGAAUACAAAUAUACUGAAAGGGAAACUAGUGAAAGAUGAGAGACUCAUAGUAGCAAGUUUUUUCAGAGAGAUAGGAAUUUGUAACCAAGAUGCCCUCCUCAACAGUCUUGUUGUCUGGUCUUACGGUGCUUUAGGUGAGAGAGUUUGGGAUGUAAAAAGUGAAAAGUAAGAUGAUCUUUCCCUGAUUUUAAAGAUUGAACGGGAUUGGUCUAGUAGUCCCGGAUUGGCUCCCAUUUUCUUAUUGAGACUUCAUAUUUAUUCAUAUUUAUUUGGGGAUUUUACGUGACAGUAGGAUAGUAUUCUUGAAGCUGCCAAGAUGGUUACAGGCAGCCCCAUGGAUAAAAUAACUGAUAGUCCAUCCUAGGAAUGGUGCACUAAGGCCUUGGGCAAGUAUCACAUAGUUAUGGGGUAAAGAAGGGGUCUCAAACUCAAAGGCCUGUUGGCAGCUGGGCCUGUGUGAGGUGAGCAAAUAAUGCAGAGCCAAAGACGUUAUGCUGUGUCUCCAAAGGGGGCAGCUUUUACUCAACUCUACUUUUGUUUAUUUGUU
Non-coding RNA from Vicugna pacos (alpaca), 2288 nucleotides. Lineage: Eukaryota; Metazoa; Chordata; Mammalia; Artiodactyla; Camelidae. The record is from RefSeq and is a predicted model, not a curated record.